UAAGCGACUAAGCGUACACGGUGGAUGCCCUGGCAGUCAGAGGCGAUGAAGGGCGUGCUAAUCUGCGAUAAGCGCCGGUAAGGUGAUAUGAACCGUUAUAACCGGCGAUACCCGAAUGGGGAAACCCAGUGUGAUUCGUCACACUAUCAUUAACUGAAUCCAUAGGUUAAUGAGGCGAACCGGGGGAACUGAAACAUCUAAGUACCCCGAGGAAAAGAAAUCAACCGAGAUUCCCCCAGUAGCGGCGAGCGAACGGGGAGGAGCCCAGAGCCUGAAUCAGCAUGUGUGUUAGUGGAAGCGUCUGGAAAGGCGCGCGAUACAGGGUGACAGCCCCGUACACAAAAGCGCAUGUGCUGUGAGCUCGAUGAGUAGGGCGGGACACGUGGUAUCCUGUCUGAAUAUGGGGGGACCAUCCUCCAAGGCUAAAUACUCCUGACUGACCGAUAGUGAACCAGUACCGUGAGGGAAAGGCGAAAAGAACCCCGGCGAGGGGAGUGAAAAAGAACCUGAAACCGUGUACGUACAAGCAGUGGGAGCACAGGUUUACCUGUGUGACUGCGUACCUUUUGUAUAAUGGGUCAGCGACUUAUAUUCUGUAGCAAGGUUAACCGAAUAGGGGAGCCGGAGGGAAACCGAGUCUUAAUUGGGCGUUAAGUUGCAGGGUAUAGACCCGAAACCCGGUGAUCUAGCCAUGGGCAGGUUGAAGGUUGGGUAACACUAACUGGAGGACCGAACCGACUAAUGUUGAAAAAUUAGCGGAUGACCUGUGGCUGGGGGUGAAAGGCCAAUCAAACCGGGAGAUAGCUGGUUCUCCCCGAAAGCUAUUUAGGUAGCGCCUCGUGAAUUCAUCUCCGGGGGUAGAGCACUGUUUCGGCUAGGGGGCCAUCCCGGCUUACCAACCCGAUGCAAACUGCGAAUACCGGAGAAUGUUAUCACGGGAGACACACGGCGGGUGCUAACGUCCGUCGUGAAGAGGGAAACAACCCAGACCGCCAGCUAAGGUCCCAAAGUCAUGGUUAAGUGGGAAACGAUGUGGGAAGGCCCAGACAGCCAGGAUGUUGGCUUAGAAGCAGCCAUCAUUUAAAGAAAGCGUAAUAGCUCACUGGUCGAGUCGGCCUGCGCGGAAGAUGUAACGGGGCUAAACCAUGCACCGAAGCUGCGGCAGCGACGCUUAUGCGUUGUUGGGUAGGGGAGCGUUCUGUAAGCCUGUGAAGGUGUGUCGUGAGGCAUGCUGGAGGUAUCAGAAGUGCGAAUGCUGACAUAAGUAACGAUAAAGCGGGUGAAAAGCCCGCUCGCCGGAAGACCAAGGGUUCCUGUCCAACGUUAAUCGGGGCAGGGUGAGUCGACCCCUAAGGCGAGGCCGAAAGGCGUAGUCGAUGGGAAACGGGUUAAUAUUCCCGUACUUGGUGUUACUGCGAAGGGGGGACGGAGAAGGCUAUGUUGGCCGGGCGACGGUUGUCCCGGUUUAAGCGUGUAGGUGUGUGUUCCAGGUAAAUCCGGUUCACUUUAACACUGAGGCGUGAUGACGAGGCACUACGGUGCUGAAGUAACAAAUGCCCUGCUUCCAGGAAAAGCCUCUAAGCAUCAGGUAACAUCAAAUCGUACCCCAAACCGACACAGGUGGUCAGGUAGAGAAUACCAAGGCGCUUGAGAGAACUCGGGUGAAGGAACUAGGCAAAAUGGUGCCGUAACUUCGGGAGAAGGCACGCUGACACGUAGGUGAAGUGAUUUACUCAUGGAGCUGAAGUCAGUCGAAGAUACCAGCUGGCUGCAACUGUUUAUUAAAAACACAGCACUGUGCAAACACGAAAGUGGACGUAUACGGUGUGACGCCUGCCCGGUGCCGGAAGGUUAAUUGAUGGGGUCAGCGCAAGCGAAGCUCCUGAUCGAAGCCCCGGUAAACGGCGGCCGUAACUAUAACGGUCCUAAGGUAGCGAAAUUCCUUGUCGGGUAAGUUCCGACCUGCACGAAUGGCGUAAUGAUGGCCAGGCUGUCUCCACCCGAGACUCAGUGAAAUUGAACUCGCUGUGAAGAUGCAGUGUACCCGCGGCAAGACGGAAAGACCCCGUGAACCUUUACUAUAGCUUGACACUGAACAUUGAGCCUUGAUGUGUAGGAUAGGUGGGAGGCUUUGAAGUGUGGACGCCAGUCUGCAUGGAGCCGACCUUGAAAUACCACCCUUUAAUGUUUGAUGUUCUAACGUGGACCCGUUACCCGGGUUGCGGACAGUGUCUGGUGGGUAGUUUGACUGGGGCGGUCUCCUCCUAAAGAGUAACGGAGGAGCACGAAGGUUGGCUAAUCCUGGUCGGACAUCAGGAGGUUAGUGCAAUGGCAUAAGCCAGCUUGACUGCGAGCGUGACGGCGCGAGCAGGUGCGAAAGCAGGUCAUAGUGAUCCGGUGGUUCUGAAUGGAAGGGCCAUCGCUCAACGGAUAAAAGGUACUCCGGGGAUAACAGGCUGAUACCGCCCAAGAGUUCAUAUCGACGGCGGUGUUUGGCACCUCGAUGUCGGCUCAUCACAUCCUGGGGCUGAAGUAGGUCCCAAGGGUAUGGCUGUUCGCCAUUUAAAGUGGUACGCGAGCUGGGUUUAGAACGUCGUGAGACAGUUCGGUCCCUAUCUGCCGUGGGCGCUGGAGAACUGAGGGGGGCUGCUCCUAGUACGAGAGGACCGGAGUGGACGCAUCACUGGUGUUCGGGUUGUCAUGCCAAUGGCACUGCCCGGUAGCUAAAUGCGGAAGAGAUAAGUGCUGAAAGCAUCUAAGCACGAAACUUGCCCCGA
This 2777-nucleotide ribosomal RNA is filed under the name Salmonella enterica subsp. enterica serovar Dublin. Its description in RNAcentral is "partial 23S ribosomal RNA". It matches the Rfam family "Bacterial large subunit ribosomal RNA". Lineage: Bacteria; Pseudomonadati; Pseudomonadota; Gammaproteobacteria; Enterobacterales; Enterobacteriaceae. The record is from RNAcentral.